This 391-nucleotide unclassified non-coding RNA is filed under the name soil metagenome. RNAcentral describes it as "partial contains 5.8S ribosomal RNA, internal transcribed spacer 2, and large subunit ribosomal RNA". The stretch from base 1 to 122 matches the Rfam family "5.8S ribosomal RNA", at positions 35 to 154 of the family's 154-position model. The record is from RNAcentral.
GAUGAAGAACGUAGCGAAAUGCGAUACUUGGUGUGAAUUGCAGAAUCCCGUGAACCAUCGAGUCUUUGAACGCAAGUUGCGCCCGAAGCCAUUAGGCCGAGGGCACGCCUGCCUGGGCGUCACACGUUGUUGCCCCCCCAUCUACUCCUUCGGGAUUGCGGGGGGCGGAUGAUGGCCUCUCGUGCGCCUCGUCGCGCGGUUGGCCUAAAUGCCAAGUCCUCGGCGACGCACGCCACGACAAUCGGUGGUUGCGAAACCUCGGUUGCCUGUCGUGUGCGGUCGUCGCGCAUCGAGGGCUCGAAAAAAUUGCCGGGCUUCGGCUCGACUUUCAACGCGACCCCAGGUCAGGCGGGGUUACCCGCUGAAUUUAAGCAUAUCAAUAAGCGGAGGA